GCUCCGGUAGUCCAAUCGGCAGAGACGAUACCCUCAAAAGGUAUUCAGUGUGGGUUCGAAUCCCACCCGGGGCACCU
This 77-nucleotide transfer RNA is filed under the name Streptomyces sp. WAC00469. Its description in RNAcentral is "tRNA-Leu". It matches the Rfam family "tRNA". Rfam says of the family: Transfer RNA (tRNA) molecules are approximately 80 nucleotides in length. Lineage: Bacteria; Bacillati; Actinomycetota; Actinomycetes; Kitasatosporales; Streptomycetaceae. The record is from RNAcentral.